GACGAACGCUGGCGGCGUGCUUAACACAUGCAAGUCGAACGGAAAGGCCCUGCUUUUGUGGGGUGCUCGAGUGGCGAACGGGUGAGUAACACGUGAGUAACCUGCCCUUGACUUUGGGAUAACUUCAGGAAACUGGGGCUAAUACCGGAUAGGAGCUCCUGCUGCAUGGUGGGGGUUGGAAAGUUUCGGCGGUUGGGGAUGGACUCGCGGCUUAUCAGCUUGUUGGUGGGGUAGUGGCUUACCAAGGCUUUGACGGGUAGCCGGCCUGAGAGGGUGACCGGCCACAUUGGGACGGAGAUACGGCCCAGACUCCUACGGGAGGCAGCAGGGGGGAAUAGUGCACAAUGGGCGGAAGCCUGAUGCAGCAACGCCGCGUGCGGGAUGACGGCCUUCGGGUUGUAAACCGCUUUCGCCUGUGACGAAGCGUGAGUGACGGUAAUGGGUAAAGAAGCACCGGCUAACUACGUG
Molecule: ribosomal RNA, 468 nt
Filed under: uncultured bacterium
Lineage: Bacteria
Description: partial 16S ribosomal RNA
Rfam family: Bacterial small subunit ribosomal RNA
Source: RNAcentral